GGGCCCGCACAAGCGGUGGAGCAUGUGGUUUAAUUUGAUGCAACGCGAAGAACCUUACCAGGGUUUGACAUGGUGAGAAUCCUGCAGAGAUGCGGGAGUGCCUUCGGGAAUUCACAUACAGGUGCUGCAUGGCUGUCGUCAGCUCGUGUCGUGAGAUGUUGGGUUAAGUCCCGCAACGAGCGCAACCCUUUUCCUUAUUUGCCAGCGGGUUAAGCCGGGAACUUUAAGGAUACUGCCAGUGACAAACUGGAGGAAGGCGGGGACGACGUCAAGUCAUCAUGGCCCUUACGACCAGGGCUACACACGUGCUACAAUGGUAGGUACAGAGGGUUGCUACACAGCGAUGUGAUGCUAAUCUCAAAAAGCCUAUCGUAGUCCGGAUUGGAGUCUGCAACUCGACUCCAUGAAGUCGGAAUCGCUAGUAAUCG
RNAcentral lists this ribosomal RNA (428 nucleotides) under uncultured bacterium. RNAcentral describes it as "bacterial SSU rRNA". It matches the Rfam family "Bacterial small subunit ribosomal RNA", at positions 917 to 1344 of the family's 1533-position model. The record is from RNAcentral.